RNAcentral lists this ribosomal RNA (214 nucleotides) under uncultured bacterium. Its description in RNAcentral is "partial 16S rRNA". It matches the Rfam family "Bacterial small subunit ribosomal RNA", at positions 296 to 504 of the family's 1533-position model. The record is from RNAcentral.
UAGCUUGUAUGAGAGGCUGGCUUUGAUACAGAGUCAGAAUCCCACCGGAACCAGCGCUAGAGAAUUGUCCCCAAUAGGGGCCAAACUGAUGGAGCAACACCGCGUGAGUGGAGAAGGGUUUCGGCUUGUAAAACUCUGUUGUUGAAGAAGAACGUGCAUGAGAGUAACUGUUCAUGCAGUGACGGUAUUCAACCAGAAAGUCACGGCUAACUAC